AUGAACGCUGGCGGCGUGCCUCAUCCAUGCAAGUCGAGCGAACAGACGAGGAGCUUGCUCCUUUGACGUUAGCGGCGGACGGGUGAGUAACACGUGGAUAACCUACCUAUAAGACUGGGAUAACUUCGGGAAACCGGAGCUAAUACCGGAUAACAUGUUGAACCGCAUGGUUCAACAGUGAAAGACGGUCUUGCUGUCACUUAUAGAUGGAUCCGCGCCGCAUUAGCUAGUUGGUAAGGUAACGGCUUACCAAGGCAACGAUGCGUAGCCGACCUGAGAGGGUGAUCGGCCACACUGGAACUGAGACACGGUCCAGACUCCUACGGGAGGCAGCAGUAGGGAAUCUUCCGCAAUGGGCGAAAGCCUGACGGAGCAACGCCGCGUGAGUGAAGAAGGUCUUCGGAUCGUAAAACUCUGUUAUUAGGGAAGAACAAAUGUGUAAGUAACUAUGCACGUCUUGACGGUACCUAAUCAGAAAGCCACGGCUAACUACGUG
Molecule: ribosomal RNA, 496 nt
Filed under: uncultured bacterium
Lineage: Bacteria
Description: partial 16S ribosomal RNA
Rfam family: Bacterial small subunit ribosomal RNA
Source: RNAcentral